RNAcentral lists this ribosomal RNA (468 nucleotides) under uncultured bacterium. RNAcentral's name for it is "partial 16S ribosomal RNA". It matches the Rfam family "Bacterial small subunit ribosomal RNA", at positions 28 to 507 of the family's 1533-position model. The record is from RNAcentral.
GACGAACGCUGGCGGCGUGCUUAACACAUGCAAGUCGAACGGAAAGGCCCUGCUUUUGUCGGGUGCUCGAGUGGCGAACGGGUGAGUAACACGUGAGUAACCUGCCCUUGACUUUGGGAUAACUUCAGGAAACUGGGGCUAAUACCGGAUAGGAGCUCCUGCUGCAUGGUGGGGGUUGGAAAGUUUCGGCGGUUGGGGAUGGACUCGCGGCUUAUCAGCUUGUUGGUGGGGUAGUGGCUUACCAAGGCUUUGACGGGUAGCCGGCCUGAGAGGGUGACCGGGCACCUUGGGACUGAGAUACGGCCCAGACUGCUACGGGAGGCAGCAGUGGGGAAUAUUGCACAAUGGGCGGAAGCCUGAUGCAGCAACGCCGCGUGCGGGAUGACGGCCUUCUGGUUGUAAACCGCUUUCGCCUGUGACGAAGCGUGAGUGACGGUAAUGGGUAAAGAAGCACCGGCUAACUACGUG